UGUAGCUAAUCUCAAAACAGAGGACUUAGAACAGAGACUGAUUCUGAUUAAUAAAUCUCAAUC
RNAcentral lists this small RNA (63 nucleotides) under Arabidopsis thaliana (thale cress). RNAcentral describes it as "ATSL073920". The record is from RNAcentral. Lineage: Eukaryota; Viridiplantae; Streptophyta; Magnoliopsida; Brassicales; Brassicaceae.